Molecule: long non-coding RNA, 613 nt
Filed under: Homo sapiens (human)
Lineage: Eukaryota; Metazoa; Chordata; Mammalia; Primates; Hominidae
Description: non-protein coding lnc-OBSL1-5:1
Source: RNAcentral
GGCACCUGGGGGAAGAGGAAGUUGGUGAGAAACCUGAUGAGAGGCCUGGGGAGGUGGGGCCAGACUGAAAGCCGAGUUCCUGGUGACAGCACCCUCGGCCUGACCCUCCCACUGCCCACCCACCAGUCUAUGGAGCUUCCCUCACACUCGACAGCCUCUUCAUCCACCACCGCUCUCUGCCUUGCAGCCCCUGCCCGCUCAGAGCCUCAGCAGCUGGCUUCCCUGCCUGUCGCCUCACCCCCUCCACGCUCCGCCAGACUAACUAUUCUAAGGCACAAAACUGACCAUCACUGCCCCAUUUCAAAUCCUUCAGUGGCUCCCAGUGGCCCUCAGAAACAAGUCCAAACUCCUUGGCAGACACAGGAGGCAGCUCCUACCUAAGACAUUCUUUUCCUCCCUACUCCUUAACUUACCCUUCAAGACUGAGCUUAGACAUCACCUCCCAGGAAGGUUCCUUGACCCACUCAAGCUGGACUAGACACCCCUUCAAGGGCCUUAGCCCGAUUACAGAACAGGUGCUCAACAAAGGCCUAACGACAUCAUGUGUUUAUAAUAAUGCUAGGAGGCCCCAUUGAUGAGUGCCAGGUGCUGGGCUGGGCAGCUUCAACAUGAG